UCCCAUGCCAUCCAUUUAAUCCCUCGGUUGUUACUCCUUCCUCCCCACCAAAAUGCAUUAAUCAUCUUCUCAAUAUCAUCUAGAAUUGAAUUCGGCAGAAGAUAAAUACUCAUUAUGUAAGAAGGAAUAGAUUGUAACACAAAUUUGAUCAUAACUUCCUUACCCGCCUUCGAUAAUACCUGUCCCCUCCAUGCAUUUAUUCGUUUCCAGAUACGAUCCUUGAUAAAAGAAAAAAUGGACCGCUUAUCUCUACCAAUCAUCGAAGGUAAACCCAAAUACUUUCCGGUACCCAUCACAUGUCGGACACCAAUAAUGCGUGACAAAUCCUCCUGCGCCGCCCCACUCAUAUUGUGACUGAAAAACAUGGACCGCUUAUCUCUACCAAUCAUCGAAGGUAAACCCAAAUACUUUCCGGUACCCAUCACAUGUCGGACACCAAUAAUGCGUGACAAAUCCUCCUGCGCCGCCCCACUCAUAUUGCGACUGAAAAACACUUCAGACUUUGAUAAGUUAAUUUCUUGUCUAGACGUUGUCUCGUAAGUUCUAAGAAUAGCGAGUAAAUGUUGUGCUUCCACCACAUUGGCCCUGCAAAACAAGAAACAAUCGUCUGCAAACAACAGAUGGGACACCACUGGUGCACCGCAACAUACUUGUACCCCGUGAAUAUCACCUCUGUUAACUGCCUUA
This 687-nucleotide long non-coding RNA is filed under the name Medicago truncatula (barrel medic). RNAcentral describes it as "long non-coding RNA (MTRU_LNC002547)". The record is from RNAcentral. Lineage: Eukaryota; Viridiplantae; Streptophyta; Magnoliopsida; Fabales; Fabaceae.